AACGCUGAAGAGAGGAGCUUGCUCUUCUUGGAUGAGUUGCGAACGGGUGAGUAACGCGUAGGUAACCUGCCUUGUAGCGGGGGAUAACUAUUGGAAACGAUAGCUAAUACCGCAUAACAAUGGAUGACACAUGUCAUUUAUUUGAAAGGGGCAAUUGCUCCACUACAAGAUGGACCUGCGUUGUAUUAGCUAGUAGGUGAGGUAAUGGCUCACCUAGGCGACGAUACAUAGCCGACCUGAGAGGGUGAUCGGCCACACUGGGACUGAGACACGGCCCAGACUCCUACGGGAGGCAGCAGUAGGGAAUCUUCGGCAAUGGGGGCAACCCUGACCGAGCAACGCCGCGUGAGUGAAGAAGGUUUUCGGAUCGUAAAGCUCUGUUGUAAGUCAAGAACGGGUGUGAGAGUGGAAAGUUCACACUGUGACGGUAGCUUACCAGAAAGGGACGGCUAACUACGUGCCAGCAGCCGCGGUAAUACGUAGGUCCCGAGCGUUGUCCGGAUUUAUUGGGCGUAAAGCGAGCGCAGGCGGUUUGAUAAGUCUGAAGUUAAAGGCUGUGGCUCAACCAUAGUUCGCUUUGGAAACUGUCAAACUUGAGUGCAGAAGGGGAGAGUGGAAUUCCAUGUGUAGCGGUGAAAUGCGUAGAUAUAUGGAGGAACACCGGUGGCGAAAGCGGCUCUCUGGUCUGUAACUGACGCUGAGGCUCGAAAGCGUGGGGAGCGAACAGGAUUAGAUACCCUGGUAGUCCACGCCGUAAACGAUGAGUGCUAGGUGUUGGAUCCUUUCCGGGAUUCAGUGCCGCAGCUAACGCAUUAAGCACUCCGCCUGGGGAGUACGACCGCAAGGUUGAAACUCAAAGGAAUUGACGGGGGCCCGCACAAGCGGUGGAGCAUGUGGUUUAAUUCGAAGCAACGCGAAGAACCUUACCAGGUCUUGACAUCCCGAUGCUAUUUCUAGAGAUAGAAAGUUACUUCGGUACAUCGGUGACAGGUGGUGCAUGGUUGUCGUCAGCUCGUGUCGUGAGAUGUUGGGUUAAGUCCCGCAACGAGCGCAACCCCUAUUGUUAGUUGCCAUCAUUCAGUUGGGCACUCUAGCGAGACUGCCGGUAAUAAACCGGAGGAAGGUGGGGAUGACGUCAAAUCAUCAUGCCCCUUAUGACCUGGGCUACACACGUGCUACAAUGGUUGGUACAACGAGUUGCGAGUCGGUGACGGCGAGCUAAUCUCUUAAAGCCAAUCUCAGUUCGGAUUGUAGGCUGCAACUCGCCUACAUGAAGUCGGAAUCGCUAGUAAUCGCGGAUCAGCACGCCGCGGUGAAUACGUUCCCGGGCCUUGUACACACCGCCCGUCACACCACGAGAGUUUGUAACACCCGAAGUCGGUGAGGUAACCUUUUGGAGCCAGCCGCCUAAGGUGGGACAGAUGAUUGGG
This 1430-nucleotide ribosomal RNA is filed under the name Streptococcus thermophilus. RNAcentral's name for it is "16S ribosomal RNA". It matches the Rfam family "Bacterial small subunit ribosomal RNA". The record is from RNAcentral. Lineage: Bacteria; Bacillati; Bacillota; Bacilli; Lactobacillales; Streptococcaceae.